CCUACGGGAGGCAGCAGUGGGGAAUAUUGCACAAUGGGCGCAAGCCUGAUGCAGCCAUGCCGCGUGUGUGAAGAAGGCCUUCGGGUUGUAAAGCACUUUCAGCGGGGAGGAAGGCGGUGAGGUUAAUAACCUCAUCGAUUGACGUUACCCGCAGAAGAAGCACCGGCUAACUCCGUGCCAGCAGCCGCGGUAAUACGGAGGGUGCAAGCGUGAAUCGGAAUUACUGGGCGUAAAGCGCACGCAGGCGGUCUGUCAAGUCGGAUGUGAAAUCCCCGGGCUCAACCUGGGAACUGCAUUCGAAACUGGCAGGCUAGAGUCUUGUAGAGGGGGGUAGAAUUCCAGGUGUAGCGGUGAAAUGCGUAGAGAUCUGGAGGAAUACCGGUGGCGAAGGCGGCCCCCUGGACAAAGACUGACGCUCAGGUGCGAAAGCGUGGGGAGCAAACAGGAUUAGAUACCCGUGUAGUC
This 465-nucleotide ribosomal RNA is filed under the name uncultured Klebsiella sp. RNAcentral's name for it is "bacterial SSU rRNA". It matches the Rfam family "Bacterial small subunit ribosomal RNA", at positions 338 to 795 of the family's 1533-position model. Lineage: Bacteria; Pseudomonadati; Pseudomonadota; Gammaproteobacteria; Enterobacterales; Enterobacteriaceae. The record is from RNAcentral.